GAACAAACGCUGGCGGCGUGCCUAACACAUGCAAGUCGUACGAGAAAGGGUCCUUCGGGACCUGAGUAAAGUGGCGCACGGGUGAGUAACGCGUGGAUAAUCUGCCCUUCAGUUGGGAAUAACUCAUCGAAAGGUGGGCUAAUACCGGAUAAUGCUGUGAGACUUUGGUCGAUCAGCCAAAGAGAGCCUCUGCUUGCACGCCCUCGCUGAAGGAUGAGUCCGCGUACCAUUAGCUGGUUGGUAGGGUAAUGGCCUACCAAGGCGACGAUGGUUAGCUGGUCUGAGAGGAUGAUCAGCCACACUGGAACUGAGACACGGUCCAGACUCCUACGGGAGGCAGCAGUGAGGAAUCUUGCGCAAUGGGGGCAACCCUGACGCAGCAACGCCGCGUGAGUGAGGAAGGUCUUCGGAUCGUAAAGCUCUGUCAGUUGGGAAGAAACGCUUGGAAGCCAAUACCUUUCAUGCUUGACGGUACCAACAGAGGAAGCACCGGCUAACUCCGUGCCAGCAGCCGCGGUAAUACGGAGGGUGCAAGCGUUGUUCGGAAUUAUUGGGCGUAAAGAGCGUGUAGGCGGCCGGAUGUGUCAAAUGUGAAAGCCCUGAGCUCAACUCAGGAAGUGCAUUUGAAACUGUCCGGCUCGAGUAGGGGAGAGGGAAGUGGAAUUCCUGGUGUAGAGGUGAAAUUCGUAGAUAUCAGGAGGAACACCGGUGGCGAAGGCGACUUCCUGGCCCUAUACUGACGCUGAGACGCGAGAGCGUGGGGUAGCUAAACGGAGAUUAGAUAC
RNAcentral lists this ribosomal RNA (785 nucleotides) under uncultured bacterium. RNAcentral describes it as "bacterial SSU rRNA". It matches the Rfam family "Bacterial small subunit ribosomal RNA", at positions 27 to 785 of the family's 1533-position model. The record is from RNAcentral.